Molecule: ribosomal RNA, 539 nt
Filed under: uncultured bacterium
Lineage: Bacteria
Description: bacterial SSU rRNA
Rfam family: Bacterial small subunit ribosomal RNA
Source: RNAcentral
GAGGAAUAUUGGUCAAUGGGCGCAAGCCUGAACCAGCCAAGUAGCGUGCAGGAAGACGGCCCUAUGGGUUGUAAAUUGCUUUUAUACGAGAAUAAUUUGAUGCACGUGUGCGUUAUUGCAUGUAUCGUAUGAAUAAGGACCGGCUAAUUCCGUGCCAGCAGCCGCGGUAAUACGGAAGGUCCAGGCGUUAUCCGGAUUUAUUGGGUUUAAAGGGAGUGUAGGCGGUUUGUUAAGCGUGUUGUGAAAUUUAGAUGCUCAACAUUUAACUUGCAGCGCGAACUGUCAGACUUGAGUACACGCAACGUAUGCGGAAUUCAUGGUGUAGCGGUGAAAUGCUUAGAUAUCAUGAAGAACUCCGAUUGCGAAGGCAGCAUACGGGAGUGUAACUGACGCUUAAGCUCGAAGGUGCGGGUAUCGAACAGGAUUAGAUACCCUGGUAGUCCGCACAGUAAACGAUGGAUGCCCGCUGUUAGCGCCUGGCGUUAGCGGCUAAGCGAAAGCAUUAAGCAUCCCACCUGGGGAGUACGCCGGCAACGGUG